RNAcentral lists this ribosomal RNA (497 nucleotides) under uncultured bacterium. RNAcentral describes it as "partial 16S ribosomal RNA". It matches the Rfam family "Bacterial small subunit ribosomal RNA", at positions 28 to 507 of the family's 1533-position model. The record is from RNAcentral.
GAUGAACGCUGGCGGCGUGCCUAAUACAUGCCAGUCGAGCGAACGGACGAGAAGCUUGCUUCUCUGAUGUUAGCGGCGGACGGGUGAGUAACACGUGGAUAACCUACCUAUAAGACUGGGAUAACUUCGGGAAACCGGAGCUAAUACCGGAUAAUAUUUUGAACCGCAUGGUUCAAAAGUGAAAGACGGUCUUGCUGUCACUUAUAGAUGGAUCCGCGCUGCAUUAGCUAGUUGGUAAGGUAACGGCUUACCAAGGCAACGAUGCAUAGCCGACCUGAGAGGGUGAUCGGCCACACUGGAACUGAGACACGGUCCAGACUCCCACGGGAGGCAGCAGUAGGGAAUCUUCCGCAAUGGGCGAAAGCCUGACGGAGCAACGCCGCGUGAGUGAUGAAGGUCUUCGGAUCGUAAAACUCUGUUAUUAGGGAAGAACAUAUGUGUAAGUAACUGUGCACAUCUUGACGGUACCUAAUCAGAAAGCCACGGCUAACUACGUG